This 253-nucleotide ribosomal RNA is filed under the name uncultured bacterium. Its description in RNAcentral is "partial 16S ribosomal RNA". It matches the Rfam family "Bacterial small subunit ribosomal RNA", at positions 524 to 776 of the family's 1533-position model. The record is from RNAcentral.
CACGUAGGGCGCAAGCGUUGUCCGGAAUUAUUGGGCGUAAAGAGCUCGUAGGCGGUCUGUUGCGUCCGCUGUGAAAACUCGGGGCUUAACCCCGAGCCUGCAGUGGAUACGGGCAGACUAGAGGUAGGUAGGGGAGAAUGGAAUUCCCGGUGUAGCGGUGAAAUGCGCAGAUAUCAGGAAGAACACCCGUGGCGAAGGCGGCUCUCUGGAACGCAACUGACGCUGAGACGCGAAAGCGUGGGGAGCAAACAGG